Molecule: ribosomal RNA, 501 nt
Filed under: uncultured bacterium
Lineage: Bacteria
Description: partial 16S ribosomal RNA
Rfam family: Bacterial small subunit ribosomal RNA
Source: RNAcentral
AUCGAACGCUGGCGGCAGGCUUAACACAUGCAAGUCGAGCGGAGAUGAGGUGCUUGCGCCUUAUCUUAGCGGCGGACGGGUGAGUAAUGCUUAGGAAUCUGCCUAUUAGUGGGGGACAACAUUCCGAAAGGAAUGCUAAUACCGCAUACGUCCUACGGGAGAAAGCAGGGGAUCUUCGGACCUUGCGCUAAUAGAUGAGCCUAAGUCGGAUUAGCUAGUUGGUGGGGUAAAGGCCUACCAAGGCGACGAUCUGUAGCGGGUCUGAGAGGAUGAUCCGCCACACUGGGACUGAGACACGGCCCAGACUCCUACGGGAGGCAGCAGUGGGGAAUAUUGGACAAUGGGGGGAACCCUGAUCCAGCCAUGCCGCGUGUGUGAAGAAGGCCUUAUGGUUGUAAAGCACUUUAAGCGAGGAGGAGGCUACUGAGACUAAUACUCUUGGAUAGUGGACGUUACUCGCAGAAUAAGCACCGGCUAACUCUGUGCCAGCCGCCGCAGUAA